GACGAAGCGCAAGUGACGGUAGGUACAGAAGAAGCNCCGGCCAANUUACGUGCCAGCAGCCGCGUAAUACGUAGGGUGCGAGCGUUGUCCGGAAUUAUUGGGCGUAAAGGGCUCGUAGGCGGUUUGUCGCGUCGGGAGUGAAAACNNCCGGCUUAACACGNGCGCUUGCUUUCGAUACGGGCAGACUAGAGGUAUUCAGGGGAGAACGGAAUUCCUGGUGUAGCGNGUGAAAUGCGCAGAUAUCAGGAGGAACACCCGUGGCGAAGGCGGUUCUCUGGGAAUGACCUGACGCUGAGGAGCGAAAGUGUGGGGAGCGAACAGGAUUAGAUACCCUGGUAGUCCACACCGUAAACGUUGGGCGCUAGGUGUGGGGUCCAUUCCACGGAUUCCGUGCCGCAGCUAACGCAUUAAGCGCCCCGCCUGGGGAGUACGGCCGCAAGGCUAAAACUCAAAGGAAUUGACGGGGGCCCGCACAAGCGGCGGAGCAUGCGGAUUAAUUCGAUGCAACGCGAAGAACCUUACCUGGGUUUGACAUACACCCUGCCGCUCCAGAGAUGGGGCUUCUUUUGGGGGUGUACAGGUGGUGCAUGGCUGUCGUCAGCUCG
RNAcentral lists this ribosomal RNA (605 nucleotides) under Nocardioides sp. V4.BO.28. RNAcentral's name for it is "bacterial SSU rRNA". It matches the Rfam family "Bacterial small subunit ribosomal RNA", at positions 444 to 1062 of the family's 1533-position model. Lineage: Bacteria; Bacillati; Actinomycetota; Actinomycetes; Propionibacteriales; Nocardioidaceae. The record is from RNAcentral.